CUUGUGCUGCUGUGUUCGCCCGUUACUGGAAUGCAUGCCCAGACCGAUAGACUAUUACUGGGGGCGGCCCCUGUGGACUGAUGUCAUGCCUUUUCAGGAAGACAGAUGAUCGCAGGAUGUCCCCAACCUGUUGAGCAAACGGAAAUGUGGCUCUCGCGCCAAGGACGGCACAGCGGCAAUUUU
Molecule: non-coding RNA, 183 nt
Filed under: Verrucomicrobiales bacterium
Lineage: Bacteria; Pseudomonadati; Verrucomicrobiota; Verrucomicrobiia; Verrucomicrobiales
Description: 6S RNA
Rfam family: 6S / SsrS RNA
About the family: E. coli 6S RNA was the first non coding RNA to be sequenced, but its function was unknown until recently. It consists of 184 nucleotides that fold into an extended hairpin structure with a large single-stranded internal bulge.
Source: RNAcentral